UAAAGAAAGCGUAAUAGCUCACUGGUCGAGUCGGCCUGCGCGGAAGAUGUAACGGGGCUAAACCAUGCACCGAAGCUGCGGCAGCGACACUGUGUGUUGUUGGGUAGGGGAGCGUUCUGUAAGCCUGUGAAGGUGUGUCGUGAGGCAUGCUGGAGGUAUCAGAAGUGCGAAUGCUGACAUAAGUAACGAUAAAGCGGGUGAAAAGCCCGCUCGCCGGAAGACCAAGGGUUCCUGUCCAACGUUAAUCGGGGCAGGGUGAGUCGACCCCUAAGG
Molecule: ribosomal RNA, 273 nt
Filed under: Salmonella enterica subsp. enterica serovar Anatum
Lineage: Bacteria; Pseudomonadati; Pseudomonadota; Gammaproteobacteria; Enterobacterales; Enterobacteriaceae
Description: partial 23S ribosomal RNA
Rfam family: Bacterial large subunit ribosomal RNA
Source: RNAcentral